Molecule: long non-coding RNA, 2831 nt
Filed under: Mytilus galloprovincialis (Mediterranean mussel)
Lineage: Eukaryota; Metazoa; Mollusca; Bivalvia; Mytilida; Mytilidae
Source: RNAcentral
GCUAGUCACGUACAGAAAAACAACUGUUAUGGAUUUGUCUAACAGUUUUGGUUACAAUUGAAACAAGGAAGUUGUUAACAUUUAUAGCACAUUUUCUGUUGUUUGUUCUCUAAUAUUUAGUUUCAUGUGUUUAAACUUGAUGCUUUGUUUAUAUAUAUUUCAAAAUGAUAGUGAAUAUGACCACGCGAACGUGCAGUAGAAAAAUAUAUUGUCCUUUUAAAUUGUUUAUUAUAAAUUAUGACACAUUAAAACAUACAACAUUAUACAUUAAAUAAAUUAUUGUUCUAUUUAAUUCCGCGUAUUGCAAUGCAUCACUCAGCAUGAACAAUCAGUAUUCGAGCUGGCUGAAAUUUUGUUGUGUACAUGAUAUUGGUAACGCAACUUUGAUUCAUUUGAUGUAAGUUCAUGGAUAUUUUCAAUCCAUUGAUGACGUGUAGACAGCUCUACGUACCAACUGCACAAUUAUUUUAUCAAUAUAUAUGUUAUAGGUAAAUAGUGUUCGAAUCUGUCUGUAUUGCUUGAUGUGAUUUAUUGACACGAUCUGCAAUCAGUAUGGAAUACGGCCAAACGCUUGAUACAAAACAUCUAUACACAAACUAAUGUAUAUGUGUCUUCAAUUACACGUUAAAGAAUCACUAAUUAUCAGUAAUCUGAAUGAAUAUUAUGCAUUAUCUUGUAAGGAUAAAAAUACGUUGACAAAGGCUUUAACUCAUAUGUAUUUAGUCAUAAAAUAAAGAGCAUCCAAACAUAACAUUCUGCAAUAGGCAUGACAUAUAUUAGAAAAGCAUGUGUACUAAUUAUCAUGGAUAUUAACUUUAUCCAUUUUACAGGUUGAAGUAUGGUACUGAAAUGUAAACAACACUGGAAUUGUAGAUCGAGAGGUAAGCAUAACGUGUAGAUUUGAAUAUUUUAACAAAUAUGUUGACAGUUGCAUAUUGCGUAGGUGUUUUAUAAAAUGAACUAUGAUGUUUGAACAAGUACUUCGUUGUCUGAGAUAUUUUCAGUGCAUACAGAUACUUUUGUGAAAUAGGAAAAUUAUUCCGAUAGUUUAUUAUUCUUUAAUAUAAUUAUAAAUUGGGAAAAAUGCACCUCACUACAUUUCAUUUGAAACUAUAAUAAUAUCUUCAUGUAUUUUAAACAAUUUAUGUUGGAAUUGUUCAGGUCAGUGCAUUAACUAUUUUGAAUAUAAAGCUAUGCAUUUCAUUUAAAUAAAUAUUGCUUGUAAUGCUUGUCUUUAUUUUUGUAGGACAUAACGUACUCAUUAUUGAUAUUGUAUAGAUGACAACGCCAAUCUAUCGAAACGUUAUCUGAGUUUUUUUUAAAGUAUUACAUGGUAGGUUUAUAUCACUAUAUGUAUAGUAAACAACCUCAUCAGCUCUGUUACACAAUUACUUUACUUUUAAAAGCAUACAAUGAUCAAUUCUGCAUUAAUUAGACAGUUUUCCUAAAUCAAAACUUGUAUUUGAGUAGAAGAGCAAAACAAUACAGACGGAAAGUAGACGUAAUCGAGGUAUAUUUAAUUGUAUGAAUGAUUUUUGUAUUUUUGUUUGCCUGAAUCUUAUUUUCACAAAACAUAAAAUAAUACAAACUACCAGAAAUACGACCGAUUAUCAAUGUGUGCAAUGAAUAUAUAAAUCAACUACAAUCAUCACAAUUUGUAUUCGUAUCUGUAUUUAUGAAAUAAGAAUAUGUUGUAUGAUUGUCAAUGAUACAUCUCUCCACAAGAGACCAACAUGACACAGAAAUAGGUCAACGUACGGCCUUCAACAAUGAACAAAGCCCACUGUAUUGAUAUCCCUUCUUUUAGAAAUGGAGCAUGAUGGACACAUGUUUGCUGCAACUGCUGAUUAGUCUGACUGAAAUGCGUAUUGUAUUUCUACGUACGUGUAAUCUAAUGUACAAUGCUAUACAAUUGAUAAAAGUGGGUGAUACAUCCAUUAAACUUAACGUCUUAAAACAAAAGUAUUUCAAAAGUUGUAAUUGAUUUAAUUGAUAUGCAGAAACAGAUGAAUUUCUAAAACAACUUGGAACAAAAACAAAAGUGUUUAAACUGACGAAAUGAUAGGACGUUUAAAUAUUUCAAUUUUAAAUCACGAGUGAUCAAGGAAUGCACGACUUACACAAUCAACUAUCGCACACUCCUUCAGUAAACACAAGGUUUCCAAAGUCAUGAAUAUUGCAUCAGGAGACAAUAGACAAUAUAUUUGAACAACCAUGAUAUUUCAAAGCUUAUAUACAAGAUUUUGACAUAUGUACUUUAAUUCCUUUUCAAAUGGUACAACUAUCUAUUGUAGACAGUGUUUUUUUCCCGAGAACUUACCACUUGAAUGCCAACUAUUAGAAAAAGAAGCCUUUCACUGGCUAACACGUCGUCCAGGAAAAUAUGGUGCGAUUUGGAUGUAAUCAAGGACACGCCAAAUCUAAAAGGAAUGUGUGGCCUUAAGAUCAAUUCAAACAAAUUCAGGAAAUGUUUUCAUUCAUCAAAUUCCCCUCUGUAUUGAACAAUUUUAAACAAGUGUAUGUGUAGUCGGCCAUUUACUGUACAACUUUCAGAUAAUUUAGAUCUCAUUAUAUUGUGUAACAAGUUGCAGUUUUGAUAUGUUUUUUGAUGAUUUUUUUCUAUAUAUAUUUAGAUCAAACCUGUUUUAAAAGCUAUAUGAGAAUAUAUGUUAAAUGCCGUAACUUCGAAAAAAAUAAAUUAUCAAAUGUAUUUAGCUUGAUCUGUUUAUUAUGAAAACUGCAUUUUUAAUUAACCAAAAUUAUAAUCUGACUGCUUACGUAUGUUUGACAUAGCUGUUUCGAAGGCGUCAUUCAUGUCAUUUAUAUCUUAA